UUCUCGUUUAUCUUCGUGUGUGCUGGGCCUUCAUCGCUCAUGUAAUAAAUUAACUAUUUACGCUUCCGCUUGUUAAACUCUGAAUUGUAUCAACUUUUGGUGUACCUUGCCUCCUGGGACAAGGAGUAAUACACACACGUAUGGAAUGCCCGCUGGGUUAAUUCCGGUCGUGACAAAAUGAAAUCCCGUUACCAAAUGCGGGGUAUCAUUUGUACAACUGCCGUGAGCUAACCAUUCCCCUGCAGACCAUAGAAGAAUCUCAUGCAGGUGGAGUAUACAGGGACACACACAACAUGGCAAGGAACGAACGAGAAAGUUCAUCAUCCUCAACACCCGUGCAGAUUAUAUGAGGCAGGUUGGGAACCAACUGGGGAUGCACUCGGAUGGACCCAAGCUCCACGCCACAACAUCGGUGUCUCAAGCUGGGCAAGUGCCAGUGAGGACCGGUGGCAUGCGCCUCAUGACAUAUAGUGGGGGGACAACCAACCUCCCAGAUCAAGUGGAGUACCUCCAUGUCCAAGUGAAUGGCGCUCGAGUUCCUCUCGUUGGGACUUGGGUGAAAUCACUAGGAGAAUGGACACCCUUGAUGUGCAGACGGGGGAGAUCCAAUACAACCUCACGGAACACAUAGCUCAGACACAAGAAUGACAACAGACUACUAAUGCUCAAUUUGCCAACAUCAACAACAUGAUGCAGCAACAACACGAUGACCUUCAAGCAUAUUUCCGCUUUCAGGGAUUCAAUCCUUACCAAGGACCCUGAGCGAAAGCCAAGCUUGGGGGGAGACAUCUCUCUCCCCACUGAGGUAACUUGUAUCACAUUGCAUAUUUCCCUUUCCAAUUGCAUAUUUGCUUUCCAAUUGCAUCCUAUAAACUUGAAAACAGACAAGCCGGCCCCAAAUAAGGCGUGUGGAAGUACGUAUGGUGCUUGAAUAUACGUCAACAUGUUCGGUCCUUAACAACCCAGACGAGGCUACUUGCAUCAGGGAAAAUCACCGUCCCGUCAUCGCCCUAUCACCCGUCCAAGUUAAAGCAUGUUUCCAUAUUAAUCAUUGAGUGAGGUAAUCAGAUUUUAAUACCCAUAAAUCACGGGUGGUGAAUCAAAAGUAGACCUAAGCACGGCUAAGCAUUCGAUGAUAGAAUAAACCAUCCUAACCAUUUACAAUUGAAGGUGACAAGGUUACAGGGCAACAAUAUAUUAAAGGAAGGGAAAUGCAUGAAAUCCCUUCUUCCUAUAUAGUCCUAUACAGUUAUUACUAUAAAGCUUGCACCAUAUUGAGCCACGUCACUUCCUGAGCCGUUGGAUCGUCCUGCAGAUUUCCCAGAUGAAUGUUUCGGUAAUAUUGGGCCAGCCUAGGCUACUCGUUGACCAAGCCCCUCCGCUUCUCCGAGAAAAGAAUAAAAACAUAGCCCCGUCCAUCCCACAUGCUACACAGCGCCGCAAGAGGAAGCGAGGCAUUGACAGGGGUUGCGAGGGAGUUGCUACCAUGCGCAGCUCGAGCUGCCGCAUCGCCAGGACUCCUCCCCUUCUGACUCAAAAUCAACUACGCGUUGCUGGACAAACUCUUCUUCCUGGAAGCAGAUCCUCUGUGGGUCCCACUUUGCUAUGGCCCACAUAUCAGUGACUCAACUGCACAGCAGUUAAGUCAGAGGAUCCCUUUCCCUCUUCCUGUAUCGCUUGGAUCCACACAAGCUUCUGCCGUUUAGCACAGGUCUCUGUUGUUGGGGCUUGCAUGAUGAAUCACAAGGAAAUACCAAGUUAAAUUUUGUAUUCACUUAUCCACAGGCACAUGGAUUUAUCUGUUAGCAGUUAUAGGCAGCUUUGGCCUUGAAACGAGUUGCUACAGGACCCUAGGACGUCAUUGGAUAUAUAUACAAUCUUGGACAAAGGUAGAACAAUUAUUUAAUUAUUCACUAUAAGAUCUGCAUAGAAAAUUAUUGGAUCGAGUUGGACACAAGGAUUUUUCCUAUACGGUAUGUAUCUUUUCCUAUUUUUAUUAGUUUGUAUCAUGCCAUGUUUCCAUCAUUUCUUCGAUAAUGCUUGUCGCCAGUCGAUCGGCACGGAGGGAGACGGAUCGGGCGCUCGCCCCGCGCGCGCCCCUGGCCCACGUGCUACCUGUUGGCCCACCCACUUCUUUCUCCCUUUUUCCACAAAAAGAUGUUUCAACUAGUGUACUUAUAAUGCUUCACUAUAUAUAGAUCUAAUAUAGCUAGCAGUGAAUUAAAAUACUCUUUUGCAACAAAAAAAAC
Molecule: long non-coding RNA, 2249 nt
Organism: Oryza sativa Japonica Group (Japanese rice)
Lineage: Eukaryota; Viridiplantae; Streptophyta; Magnoliopsida; Poales; Poaceae
Source: RefSeq, a predicted model, not a curated record